Molecule: transfer RNA, 72 nt
Filed under: Camelus bactrianus (Bactrian camel)
Lineage: Eukaryota; Metazoa; Chordata; Mammalia; Artiodactyla; Camelidae
Also listed under: 1 other name
Rfam family: tRNA
About the family: Transfer RNA (tRNA) molecules are approximately 80 nucleotides in length. Their secondary structure includes four short double-helical elements and three loops (D, anti-codon, and T loops). Further hydrogen bonds mediate the characteristic L-shaped molecular structure. tRNAs have two regions of fundamental functional importance: the anti-codon, which is responsible for specific mRNA codon recognition, and the 3' end, to which the tRNAs corresponding amino acid is attached (by aminoacyl-tRNA synthetases). tRNAs cope with the degeneracy of the genetic code in two manners: having more than one tRNA (with a specific anti-codon) for a particular amino acid; and 'wobble' base-pairing, i.e. permitting non-standard base-pairing at the 3rd anti-codon position.
Source: Rfam by way of RNAcentral
GGGGGUAUAGCUUAGUGAUAGAGCCCAUGCUUGGUGUGCAUAAGGUCCUGUAUUCAAUCCUCAGUGCCUCUG